RNAcentral lists this transfer RNA (74 nucleotides) under Minisyncoccota bacterium. RNAcentral describes it as "tRNA-Arg". It matches the Rfam family "tRNA". From Rfam's summary of the family: Transfer RNA (tRNA) molecules are approximately 80 nucleotides in length. Their secondary structure includes four short double-helical elements and three loops (D, anti-codon, and T loops). The record is from RNAcentral. Lineage: Bacteria; Bacillati; Minisyncoccota.
GCGUCGGUAGCUCAGCUGGAUAGAGCAACUGCCUUCUAAGCAGUAGGUCGUGGGUUCGAAUCCCACCCGACGUA